Molecule: transfer RNA, 72 nt
Filed under: Myxococcales bacterium
Lineage: Bacteria; Pseudomonadati; Myxococcota; Myxococcia; Myxococcales
Also listed under: 1 other name
Description: tRNA-Glu
Rfam family: tRNA
About the family: Transfer RNA (tRNA) molecules are approximately 80 nucleotides in length.
Source: RNAcentral
GUCCCUGUCGUCUAACGGUCAGGAUGGGAGGCCUUCAACCUCGCGGUCAGGGUUCGAUUCCCUGCAGGGACG